This 517-nucleotide ribosomal RNA is filed under the name uncultured bacterium. Its description in RNAcentral is "bacterial SSU rRNA". It matches the Rfam family "Bacterial small subunit ribosomal RNA", at positions 374 to 882 of the family's 1533-position model. The record is from RNAcentral.
GACGAAAGUCUGACGGAGCAACGCCGCGUGAGUGAAGAAGGUUUUCGGAUCGUAAAGCUCUGUCUUCAGGGACGAAUGUGCUUAAUGUGAAUAAUGUUAAGUAAUGACGGUACCUGAGGAGGAAGCCACGGCUAACUACGUGCCAGCAGCCGCGGUAAUACGUAGGUGGCAAGCGUUGUCCGGAAUUAUUGGGCGUAAAGCGCGCGCAGGCGGGAAUGUAAGUCUGUCUUAAAAGUUCGGGGCUCAACCCCGUGAUGGGAUGGAAACUACAUUUCUUGAGUGCAGGAGAGGAAAGUGGAAUUCCUAGUGUAGCGGUGAAAUGCGUAGAUAUUAGGAGGAACACCAGUGGCGAAGGCGACUUUCUGGACUGUGUCUGACGCUGAGGCGCGAAAGCCAGGGGAGUGAACGGGAUUAGAUACCCCGGUAAUCCUGGCCGUAAACGAUGGGUACUAGGUGUAGGAGGUAUCGACCCCUUCUGUGCCGGAGUUAACGCAAUAAGUACCCCGCCUGGGGAGUA